GUUUGUUUGGAGCUAUAAGGAAUCUAACCUGCCCCCUGACGAAUAGUAUUAAAGGGCCGCAGUAUUCUAACUGUGCAAAGGUAGCAUAAUCAUUAGGUUUUUAAUUGGAAUCUUGUAUGAAUGGUUGGACAAAAGAAAAUCUUUCUUUAUAUUAAGUUUUGAAUUUAACUUUUAAGUGAAAAGGCUUAAAUAUACCAGGGGGACGAUAAGACCCUAUAAAACUUUACAUUAUAGUUUUAAUUUUACUUAAUUUAUGGGAUAAAAGUUUAGUUAGUGUUAUUUGUUAUGUUGGGGAGACAAAGGUAUAAUUUUUAUUUUAACUGCUUUAAAAGUUUAACAGUUAUUAUUGGGGUUUAAGAGAUCCUUUUUAAAGAUUAAUAGUUUAAGUUACUUUAGGGAUAACAGCGUAAUUUCCUUUAAGAGUUCUUAUCGAAAGGGGAGAUUGCGACCUCGAUGUUGAAUUAAAAUAUCUAUAUAAUGGAGAGGUUAUAUUAGAAGGUCUGUUCGACCUUUAAAAUUUU
Molecule: ribosomal RNA, 521 nt
Filed under: Shanphusa ywarngan
Lineage: Eukaryota; Metazoa; Arthropoda; Malacostraca; Decapoda; Potamidae
Description: partial large subunit ribosomal RNA
Rfam family: Bacterial large subunit ribosomal RNA
Source: RNAcentral